This 370-nucleotide ribosomal RNA is filed under the name Mantoida sp. MN110. RNAcentral describes it as "partial 12S ribosomal RNA". The record is from RNAcentral. Lineage: Eukaryota; Metazoa; Arthropoda; Insecta; Mantodea; Mantoididae.
AUACCCUAUUAUUUUUAUUGUGAAUUUUGAGCCUGAGUAAUAUUAGCUAUGAUCUUGAAACUUAAAGAAUUUGGCGGUAUUAUAGUCUAUUUAGAGGAAUCUGUUGCUUAAUCGAUAAUCCGCGUUGUAUCUUACUUAGCUUAUUUCUUGUAUAUCGCUGUUUAUGAAAAUAUUUGAAUAUUAUUUUCUUGGAUCUUUAUUAAGAAAAAUUUCAAGUCAAGGUGCAGUAAAUAGUUAAGUUGUUAAUGGAUUACAAUAAAAUUUAUUUACAUGGAUUGUUUUUGUAAAAGAUUUAUGAAGGUGGAUUUAAUAGUAAUUUAAUUAAGAUUAUUUAAAUGAUUAUUAGCUCUAUAAUAUGUACACAUCGCCC